UACAGAGGGGGCAAGCGUUGUUCGGAAUUACUGGGCGUAAAGGGCGCGUAGGUGGCCUGCUAAGUCGAACGUGAAAUCCCUGGGCUCAACCCAGGAACUGCGUCCGAUACUGGUUGGCUUGAGUCCGGGAGAGGGAUGUGGAAUUCCAGGUGUAGCGGUGAAAUGCGUAGAUAUCUGGAGGAACACCGGUGGCGAAGGCGACAUCCUGGACCGGUAUUGACGCUGAGGCGCGAAAGCCAGGGGAGCAAACGGG
RNAcentral lists this ribosomal RNA (253 nucleotides) under uncultured bacterium. RNAcentral describes it as "partial 16S ribosomal RNA". It matches the Rfam family "Bacterial small subunit ribosomal RNA", at positions 524 to 776 of the family's 1533-position model. The record is from RNAcentral.